This 422-nucleotide ribosomal RNA is filed under the name uncultured archaeon. RNAcentral describes it as "partial 16S ribosomal RNA". It matches the Rfam family "Archaeal small subunit ribosomal RNA", at positions 323 to 746 of the family's 1478-position model. The record is from RNAcentral.
CUACGGGGGGCUCCAGUUAGGAAUAUUUUGCAAUGCGCGCAAGCGUGACAAAUUGAGCCAGAGUGAUUUUCAUAUUGAAAAUCUUUUGUGGAAUGUAAAAAGUUUCACGAAUAAGGACUGGGUAAGACUAGUGCCAGCCGCCGCGGUAAUACUAGCGGUCCAAGUCGCAGCCAUUUUUAUUGGGUCUAAAACAUCCGUAGCUUGUUUGAUAAGUUUCUUGUGAAAUCUGAUAUCUCAAAUAUUGGGCGUGCAAGAAGUACUGUCAAGCUAGAGACUGGAAGACGUGAGAAGUACGUUUAAAGUAGCGGUAAAAUGUGUUAAUCUUAAACGGACUUACAAUAGCGAAGGCAUCUCACGAGGACAGUUCUGACAGUAAGGGAUGAAGGCUAGGGGCGCAAAACGGAUUAGAUACCCCCGUAGUC